AACGAACGCUGGCGGCAUGCCUAACACAUGCAAGUCGAACGAGACCUUCGGGUCUAGUGGCGCACGGGUGCGUAACGCGUGGGAACCUGCCUUUAGGUUCGGAAUAACUCAGAGAAAUUUGAGCUAAUACCGGAUGAUGUCUUCGGACCAAAGAUUUAUCGCCUUUAUAUGGGCCCGCGUUGGAUUAGCUAGUUGGUGGGGUAAAGGCCUACCAAGGCGACGAUCCAUAGCUGGUCUGAGAGGAUGAUCAGCCACACUGGGACUGAGACACGGCCCAGACUCCUACGGGAGGCAGCAGUGGGGAAUAUUGGACAAUGGGCGAAAGCCUGAUCCAGCAAUGCCGCGUGAGUGAUGAAGGCCUUAGGGUUGUAAAGCUCUUUUACCCGAGAUGAUAAUGACAGUAGCGGGAGAAUAAGCUCCGGCUAACUCCGUG
RNAcentral lists this ribosomal RNA (433 nucleotides) under uncultured bacterium. RNAcentral describes it as "partial 16S ribosomal RNA". It matches the Rfam family "Bacterial small subunit ribosomal RNA", at positions 29 to 507 of the family's 1533-position model. The record is from RNAcentral.